GAAUUUGUCAGAUCAAUAUUUAAUAAAAUACAACAACAGUAUAUGUACACACUGUUCGUUAUACAAAACUAAUGUUAUGUACAUCGUAUACAUAUAUAAUAUAAUAAGUGAUUGAGCAUACUAUAACGUAUAAAUAGGGUAAAUAACCAUGUAGCUUAAAAAAAUUCUUUCUUUUAAAAGAAAAGAAAAAUUAUUUCAAAUUACAAAAUCAAAGACAAAAUGAUGUUGACAUCUAACGUAUAACUUGAACAUACCUCUCGCUGGCAAUGCUUGAAUUUCGCGACAUUGAUUUUGGUGACAUUUCGAAAUCCGAAUCGGAUCGGUAUAAGAAUGAUUCUCUACGUUGUGGAAGAUUUUGUAAAACAAGUCCGGCACUUGGAGAUCCACCCUCCAGGGGUGAUCGAGCGCCUUGUCCAUUUUCAACAUCAAAACUGCGAAUGAAAGAGAUGAAAAGUUGUUAGUAAAAAAGUGUAAUGCUGGUUAAUUUUCAAAAAAAUAUAGGGAAUUGCUUAAUUGAUUAGUUGUCUUGUAUAUGUUAUUGGAAGCGGUAUUCAAAGCCAUUGAAAUAGUAGUAAUUUUCAAUGACAUUUUCGGUUGACAUUUUUAGUACUAAUUUGGAAAGUUAAUUGU
This is a long non-coding RNA of Bradysia coprophila, 630 nucleotides long. NCBI's taxonomy places the organism in Eukaryota, Metazoa, Arthropoda, Insecta, Diptera, Sciaridae. The record is from RefSeq and is a predicted model, not a curated record.